This is an RNA transcript of Papaver somniferum (opium poppy), 939 nucleotides long. It is a transcript of the gene named B3 domain-containing protein At3g19184-like, with no coding region annotated. The record is from RefSeq and is a predicted model, not a curated record. Lineage: Eukaryota; Viridiplantae; Streptophyta; Magnoliopsida; Ranunculales; Papaveraceae. The transcript is spliced from 4 exons.
UGAGCAUCGAUCGCAUAUAAAAUUCUUGUUUUUAAGUUGGCAUCUUAAAAAAUGUCAUUCUAGAGUUAAGGGAAUAAUGAUUUGCAACUGUUGAAUGCAGGGUCUUCCUGCUAGUUAAGGUUCAUAUAAUAAAGGCUAAUGGUUCACAAAGAGACGGAGAAGAUAGUCUGUAACUUGAAUAUAUAUCCAUCACAAUAAGGAAGGGUACAUUUCGAUCCUUGUUGCCGCAAGGAAAAGUGACUGCACAGGAUUUAAAGGUGGAUUUCAUGGUUUUAUCAAUUAAGUUAUCAAUCACACCUCACUGUGAUUCGAUUCUCCAAAAGCAGAGGUCGUCUGCCUCUGGAGAUGCAUACAAGAAGAAGAAGACGAAGAAGAUAGACGCCUGGACUGGCAUGAACAUCAUCAGAUUAUGUCGUUGGAGGUGAUGAAUACCAUGGGAUCUGAAGAAGAAGAAGAAGAAGAAGAAGAAGAAAAAAUGGAUGAAACUCUUGUUAAGAAUGUGAGUUUUUCUCGAUUCGGAGUUGUGUUAUGGAAAACGCUAGGAAAGCUUUGUUGCUUACCUGUUGCUAGCACUUUAAUAUGCAAUGAAUCCCACGGCCUAUCACUGUUGGAUCAUGGUAUCCACGUGGGCGCCGCGUUACAGCGCUAGCAACUUGCUAGAACCAACAUGAGCACAGAAACACCCCUAGCAAGGUCAUUGUUUAAUUUCCUAUGGGCUGAAAGAGAGUCUGAAGCUUAAUGAAAUUUGGACUGUAUUUGCAGACAUUAUUUACCAUGAAUAUUUUGGCUCCGAUUGUUGAAAGUUGUAUUUCUAAAGCUCGAGUAAAUUCAUUUAUUAUGUGUGGAGGGGAAACUGGGUAUCUGGCUUGUUGCUUGAUCCAUGUGAUUCAUAUUCGUAUGGCAUUUUAAACGAUUUUGAAGAUUGAUGUAAUGCAUUAU